RNAcentral lists this unclassified non-coding RNA (336 nucleotides) under soil metagenome. RNAcentral's name for it is "partial contains 5.8S ribosomal RNA, internal transcribed spacer 2, and large subunit ribosomal RNA". The stretch from base 1 to 120 matches the Rfam family "5.8S ribosomal RNA", at positions 35 to 154 of the family's 154-position model. The record is from RNAcentral.
GAUGAAGAACGCAGCGAAAUGCGAUAAGUAAUGUGAAUUGCAGAAUUCAGUGAAUCAUCGAAUCUUUGAACGCACAUUGCGCCCGCCAGUAUUCUGGCGGGCAUGCCUGUUCGAGCGUCAUUUCAACCAUCAAGCCCCCGGCUUGUGUUGGGGACCUGCGGCUGCCGCAGGCCCUGAAAAGCAGUGGCGGGCUCGCUGUCACACCGAGCGUAGUAGCAUACAUCUCGCUCUGGGCGUGCUGCGGGUUCCGGCCGUUAAACCACCUUCAUAACCCAAGGUUGACCUCGGAGCAGGUAGGAAGACCCGCUGAACUUAAGCAUAUCAAUAAGCGGAGGA